GGGCCCGUAGUUUAAUGGAUAAAACAAAAGCCUUCUAAGCUUUGGACCAAGGUUCGAUUCCUUGCAGGCCCACAA
RNAcentral lists this transfer RNA (75 nucleotides) under Candidatus Magasanikbacteria bacterium RIFOXYD12_FULL_33_17. Its description in RNAcentral is "tRNA-Arg". It matches the Rfam family "tRNA". Rfam says of the family: Transfer RNA (tRNA) molecules are approximately 80 nucleotides in length. Their secondary structure includes four short double-helical elements and three loops (D, anti-codon, and T loops). Further hydrogen bonds mediate the characteristic L-shaped molecular structure. tRNAs have two regions of fundamental functional importance: the anti-codon, which is responsible for specific mRNA codon recognition, and the 3' end, to which the tRNAs corresponding amino acid is attached (by aminoacyl-tRNA synthetases). tRNAs cope with the degeneracy of the genetic code in two manners: having more than one tRNA (with a specific anti-codon) for a particular amino acid; and 'wobble' base-pairing, i.e. permitting non-standard base-pairing at the 3rd anti-codon position. The record is from RNAcentral. RNAcentral also lists the same sequence under 1 other name. Lineage: Bacteria; Candidatus Magasanikiibacteriota.